Molecule: long non-coding RNA, 817 nt
Organism: Neofelis nebulosa (Clouded leopard)
Lineage: Eukaryota; Metazoa; Chordata; Mammalia; Carnivora; Felidae
Exons: 4
Source: RefSeq, a predicted model, not a curated record
ACAGCUGCAGCUGAGUCUCGUAGGUGCAGCCUCGGUAAGCCCCGGAGCGGAUCACCUUGCUGCGAAUGGCCUUCUUGCGCACCAGUGUGGGGCACCAAGAGGGGCCGACAACGGGCAGGCAGACUCAGGCCCAGCCACGUCAGGUCAGGCAAAGCCCCCUCCCACUCAAGUCCAGCACUCCCCUCCUAUGACCCCCUAACCCUCGCCCAGGUCCCCUGUCCACUGCCCGCUCCCUGGCUGGGGUGCCGCAUACCCCACUGCCCACAGGCCCCUCUGCAGGAAGCCGCCGGAAGGAGACCAAUGCAUGAACGUUCUGUGAAAGCUGAUCGCGGCUGAAGGGUUCCCGUACAAGGCCAGGGGGGCCCCCCGGGCUGGACAGUGGCUUCAGGGGCAUGUCUCCUGCAGACGCCAGGCAGGGCUCAGGCUGUGCCCGCUCCUCAGGGUGCUGCAAGAGACUACUUCUAAUCACUGCACUUAGGAUCAGAGAGACCUGUGUCCAGAUGCUGUGUGAGUCUGGGCAAGCUGCCCCACCUCUCCGAGGUUCCAUUUCCUCAUCCCCAAACCUGGGAUAAUGUGAGGAGGCAAGACCUGAAUGGAGGAGCAGGCACCCAGCAUGAUGCCAUCGGGCGGGGAGCGACACUGAACAGUGAGUCGCCAGCACCAGAAGAGCCAGAAAUAAAGGCUGCGUGCUCCCCUUGAUGCCUUCCUGGUUCCUCCCUCCUGUACUCUCUCCCCUCCUGCUUUUCUGGUCUCACACCCACUUUGUGAUCCUGACCGUUCUUCACAUCAUGUCCAUCACCUAUCCUCCAUUUGAUGU